RNA transcript from Mercurialis annua (annual mercury), 3544 nucleotides. RefSeq lists it as uncharacterized. The record is from RefSeq and is a predicted model, not a curated record. Lineage: Eukaryota; Viridiplantae; Streptophyta; Magnoliopsida; Malpighiales; Euphorbiaceae. The transcript is spliced from 4 exons.
CUCUAUACAAUAACACUCCACUCACUCACUUCUUUGACUGUUAAAUUACCAAAAAAUUAAAACUAAAUCAAUUCAAUCCAGAAACACCCUCAGAUCCUCUCUCUUACAAAAUUAUCCGAAUCUAAUUUCUGGGCUCUGCCUGUUUUUGCCUUGGAAUUUGAAUUAUGUGUCAAGAAAUUGAAUGCAUUGAUUGUUUUUAGCAGCAUCAGUUUUGUUCAGUGUCACCGACACAAGUUUUUGGCUCUGUUAAUGGCUUCUCCUGGCUCUGCAUUGUGGAACUUGAACUGGUUUUUCUUUCAAUCUCCGGAGUGGCUAGCGUCUGUAUUGAGCUGAAAAGGUUACAUUAGAGCCUUUUCAUUGCGGACGAAAGGGAAGUGGGAAAAUACAAGUAUUUUGAAUACUGCUUAUUUCCUAAAAGAACUGUUGGUCUAUGGAAGACCAUUCGAGACCGAAACUAAAUUCUCUAGACCAGAAAUCAUCAGAAAGUACUAAUUCUGCAUCAACUCGAGGAAGGCAAAGCUUGAAUUUGGAUGACAGGUUCAAGCCUGAAAAGUCAACAUUUUCAUUUAAUGAUCUUCAUCAUCAAAACACAAAAAGUACAAGAGAUAUCUCACCUAAACGUAGGAAUUUCCUGAAGCAACAUAGAAAGGCAGCUCGAGAUGAGGAGCUUGUUAAGUAUAUGUCUAAUUUGCCGAGUUAUCUAGAGAGAGGAGAACAUCGGCAGGAGAAAGUUUUAAAUGUCGGGGUCCUCGACUGGGGACGGUUAGAGAAGUGGCAGUGUAGCCAGGAACAGAUAUGUCGGAGAAGUAGCAGGCAUUCACUUUCGAGUGGCAACACGUUCUCUUCCCUGUCAACAGAAUGUUCGUCAGUCAACUCUAGUAGCAGUCAGAGUUACUCUUCUUCUGAUCAAAGGUCGCGUCGCCCAUCACUGCAAUUCCAUUUGAUGUCAUCUCCCUCAGAAGUCCGACCACAAAAUGUCAAAUCAUUUCAAGACGGUAUUCAAAAGUAUCAACAUGUCAAAAGUUCCCAGACCAAGAUCAUGAAUGAGCAAGAAAAGAUCGUUGGGACAGAUAAACUGUUUUUGCAAAACAAUUCUGAAAUGAAACUGAAAAAGUGCAGUGGAAAGGAUUUGGAUUCAAAAAACAACAUAGAAAGUAAAACUUUUGAAGGAUCAAAGUUGGAAGCAAUACAGAGGAUAAAGACGACUACCGGAGAUGGUGAAUGUAUUAAGACGGUUAAUAAACUUCUAGGACAGAAGGCAUAUACUACUGAGAAAGAUAUCGCCGAAAAAAUUAACAGUGUACAUCUGCAUCCGCAAGAUCACUCCCAAGGCGAUUGUUCCCAGAUCUCUAAGGCAACAAUGUUAGGCUGUAAGGAAGCAGAAGCAAGUCGACGGAGUUCUGCAGAGAUGCAAGAGAGUAGCACUGGAGUGCUCAGUUCCGGUGUCCCACACUCUUGCCCAUUAAUUUGCAAGAAUAAUGUAUGCGCAGAGAUAAAACGGCGCUUCUCUGAGGCAGAAAGUAUCAGCUUUUUGCCUAAUUCAUCUCAGUCAAUAGCCCGUCCAGUGAAGAGAGGAAUUAGUCCGUCCCGUGGCAGUAUAUCAGAAAUUAAAAAAUCAAGUGUAGCACCAAUAACUUCAACUUCAAAAACACUUUCCACAGAUUUGGAGCUAAAACCAAGCAAAACGGCUGCUGAAAAACCGAGAAGUACUUCACCUUUUCUCCGACGUAGCAUUGGCUUAGGCAAGAUAAUCAAAAGUUUCAAUUCCAAAGAGGAUUUAAAUCUUCCACAAUUGAACACAGCCCAAAAUUUCGCAAAAUCUGCCUCAAGUGAUGUGCAAAAUGCUACAAGCAGAGCCAGGUCAAGCCCUCUGAGGAGGUUACUGGACCCGUUAUUAAAAGCUAAGGAACCAAACUGCUAUCAAUAUGGGGAACAAUUGCCAAGAGAUUCAGUAUCAACAGAUAAAGCCUGUAAGUCAUCAAGAGGGCUAGUAGAUUCUACAAAUGGAGCAAGACAGCCUGGGAUUAUAAAAUUGGAUAUAAGGAGUUGUAAGGAAGUCAAAGUUGAUGACUCAUUUCAGGAAAAGAAGCGUGAUCCAUCGGCAGUUCAAGCUUUUCUACAAAUUGCCUCUAAGAAUGGCCAACCUCUUUUCACAUUUGCAGUGGGCAAUGAACGGAAAAUUCUUGCAGCCACGAUGAAGAAUUUGGGUAGCUCGAGAGAGGGUGAUUACAGCUGCAUAUACACGUUCUUUUCUGUAAAAGAGGUCAGGAAAAAGAACGGUAGGUGGAUAAACCAAGGUGGAAAAGAUAAAAGUCAUGAAUAUAUUCCUGAUGUAAUAGCUCAGUUGAAGGUUUCCGGCACUCAGUUAUCCGAAUCUUUUGCUAGAGAAUUCGUUUUGUUUUCUGUGGAUCUAAGUCAAGCAGCGCAGCAAACAUUAGACCUCCAGCCAAACAAUGAGCUUGCUGCCAUUGUUGUCAAGAUCCCGAAAGCCACUAACAAAGGCGCAUGCGGAGAUGGGGAUCGGACUAGUAAGCGCAAUGAUUUUCCAGAGUCUGGGGAACAUUGCAUGAUCAGCCAGAGUCUUAUCAGUACGACGCUCAUUCUUCCAAGUGCCAUUCAUAGCCUACCAAAUAAGGGAGGGCCUUCAUCGUUGAUCCAACGGUGGAGAUCAGGUGGUUCAUGUGACUGUGGCGGUUGGGACUUGGGCUGCAAACUUAGGAUAUUUGGCAAUGACAGUCAACACAUUAAGAUAUCAAGUUCAUCCAAAGCAUGCUCGAUAUCAGAUAAAUUUGAGCUAAUCUCUCAGGGAGGAGAAGAAGAGAUUCAGCGUGUCUUUAGUUUAACUCCGUACAAGGACGGGAUCUAUUCGGUCCAGUUCAUCUCAUCACUUUCAGUUUUACAAGCAUUCUCUUUGUGCAUAGCAGUUCUCGACAGUAAAAAACUUUGCAAGACCUUUGCUACUUCCCUUGAAACCAUAACAGCACAAAACAACGGAAUAAAGGCAACACCAAAUGGAAUUAACGGCGAGUUGCCUGCAAGAUACGUUUCGAAUCCACCCCAUUCUCCGGUCGGAAGGGUCUAGUUUCGGGAGGGAUGGUCUUGUAUUUAGAUGUAGUACAGAUAGAUAAAUAGUCAGUUUGACAUAAAUGGAAAAUAAGUGCAGAAUCUCCAAGAAGGCUGAAAGCAUUUAUUUGUCUAUGAGCUGGUCCCGAUAGUGCUGGAGCUAAUGCUGAAAACAGGCUUAGCUCGUCUAGCAAGCACUCCAACCGUGAGUUUUUGGCUCGAGGAGCAUCUUUGGUCGAGGUAGGACUUGAGGUUUGCUCGAGGUAAGCUCAAGCAGACACAAAAAUGUCAGUUUUUCUUAGUUCGAUCACCUAUUCGAAUGAUCUUUGAUCUGGCACGCCUCGUAUAUGAAUUGGCCUUCGGCAGCUUGUCAUUGAAUUCUACUAAUUUUGCAUGAUGGGUUUGUAUGAAUGAACCAAACAUAGUAAGGUUUACAGUUUUAUAUUGAGAAUAGCAUCAGCAUGUGCUUAAAUUGUUUUCA